This 686-nucleotide ribosomal RNA is filed under the name uncultured Clostridium sp. RNAcentral describes it as "bacterial SSU rRNA". It matches the Rfam family "Bacterial small subunit ribosomal RNA", at positions 47 to 735 of the family's 1533-position model. Lineage: Bacteria; Bacillati; Bacillota; Clostridia; Eubacteriales; Clostridiaceae. The record is from RNAcentral.
CUUAACACAUGCAAGUCGAACGUGAUUUUUGUGGAAAGCCCUUCGGGGACGGAAGCGAAAUGAAAGUGGCGAACGGGUGAGUAACACGUGAGCAACCUACCUUACACAGGGGGAUAGCCGUUGGAAACGACGAUUAAUACCGCAUGAGACCACAAAGCCACAUGGCUUAGGGGUAAAAGAUUUAUCGGUGUAAGAUGGGCUCGCGUCUGAUUAGCUAGUUGGAAGGGUAAAGGCCUACCAAGGCAACGAUCAGUAGCCGGUCUGAGAGGAUGAACGGCCACAUUGGAACUGAGACACGGUCCAAACUCCUACGGGAGGCAGCAGUGGGGAAUAUUGCACAAUGGGGGGAACCCUGAUGCAGCGACGCCGCGUGAGCGAAGAAGGUUUUCGAAUCGUAAAGCUCUGUCCUAUGAGAAGAUAAUGACGGUAUCAUAGGAGGAAGCCCCGGCUAAAUACGUGCCAGCAGCCGCGGUAAUACGUAUGGGGCGAGCGUUGUCCGGAAUUAUUGGGCGUAAAGGGUACGUAGGCGGCCUAUUAAGUCAGGUGUGAAAGCGUGAGGCUUAACCUCAUUAAGCACUUGAAACUGGAAGGCUUGAGUGAAGGAGAGGAAAGUGGAAUUCCUAGUGUAGCGGUGAAAUGCGUAGAUAUUAGGAGGAAUACCGGUGGCGAAGGCGACUUUCUGGACU